RNAcentral lists this unclassified non-coding RNA (345 nucleotides) under soil metagenome. RNAcentral's name for it is "partial contains 5.8S ribosomal RNA, internal transcribed spacer 2, and large subunit ribosomal RNA". The stretch from base 1 to 120 matches the Rfam family "5.8S ribosomal RNA", at positions 35 to 154 of the family's 154-position model. The record is from RNAcentral.
GAUGAAGAACGUAGCGAAAUGCGAUACGUAAUGUGAAUUGCAGAAUUCAGUGAAUCAUCGAAUCUUUGAACGCAUAUUGCGCUCUCUGGUAUUCCGGGGGGCAUGCCUGUCCGAGCGUCAUUGCUGCCCUCAAGCACGGCUUGUGUGUUGGGCCUCCGUCCUCCUCCCGGGGGACGGGCCCGAAAGGCAGCGGCGGCACCGCGUCCGGUCCUCGAGCGUAUGGGGCUUCGUCACCCGCUCUUGUAGGCCCGGCCGGCGCUUGCCGACACAUCAAUCUUUUUUCCAGGUUGACCUCGGAUCAGGUAGGGAUACCCGCUGAACUUAAGCAUAUCAAUAAGCGGAGGA